This 391-nucleotide ribosomal RNA is filed under the name Helicotheca tamesis. Its description in RNAcentral is "partial Bacterial large subunit ribosomal RNA". It matches the Rfam family "Bacterial large subunit ribosomal RNA", at positions 2528 to 2925 of the family's 2925-position model. The record is from RNAcentral. Lineage: Eukaryota; Bacillariophyta; Thalassiosirophyceae; Lithodesmiales; Lithodesmiaceae.
GAUGUCGGCUCAUCGCAUCCUGGGGCGGUAGUACGUCCCAAGGGUUGGGCUGUUCGCCCAUGAAAGCGGUACGCGAGCUGGGUUCAGAACGUCGUGAGACAGUUCGGUCCAUAUCCGGUGUAGGCGUUAGAAUAUUGAGAGGAGCCUUCUCUAGUACGAGAGGACCGAGAAGGACAUACCUCUGGUGUACCAGUUAUCGUGCCAACGGUAAACGCUGGGUAGCUAUGUAUGGAGUGGAUAACCGCUGAAAGCAUCUAAGUGGGAAGCCCACCUCAAGAUGAGUAUUCUCAUCACGAAAGUGAGUAAGGUCACGGUAAGACUAACCGUUUGAUAGGCAUUAAGUAGAAGUGCAGUAAUGUAUGUAGCUGAGAUGUCCUAACAGACCGAGGAC